GCACUGCUGAGGAGUCCCAAAAUAGGACGAAAAGGCCGUCCAAUGC
RNAcentral lists this non-coding RNA (46 nucleotides) under Schistosoma mansoni. Lineage: Eukaryota; Metazoa; Platyhelminthes; Trematoda; Strigeidida; Schistosomatidae. The record is from RNAcentral.